AUGGGGAAGAAGAGGGCGGUGGCCGCGACGACGAGCACGCCGGUCUUCCCGUUCCCGGCGGCCGCCGGCGAGACGGAGCCGCCGCACCACUUCAGCGACUACGGCUUCGACCCCCAGCUCCUCCGCUUCUCCCAGCUGCCCGACGCGAAGCGUCACCAGCAGCAGCAGCCGCCGCCGCAGCUAGAGCACGCGCGGUUCAAGCUCCAGAAGCCCAUCUCCAAGAAGCACCAGCACGCGCAGCACAAUGGCAAGCAGCGCCGCCGCGGGUGGUGGAGCUCCGCGGCCUCUGCGGCGCUCCUCUUCUUCAAGCGCCCCUCGUCCAAGUCCAGCCCCGCCGCUCGGGCUGCCGGCACAGCCGCGUCGUCCUCCUGCGGUGCUGCUGCUGCGUUUGCCCCCCGGCCACUCUACUUCGCCGAUGACGGAGGCGACGACGACUCCACGGGGUGCACGUGCUGGUCGCCGGCCGUGCGGUCCGGUCACCUGGCCGCCGCCGAGCUAGGCAUUUCCUCGGUCCGAGUUCCGUAUGUUAGUCUCAGGGACGUCAAUCUCCGUGGUGGCGCCGGAGGAACUGGAGGGGCUGCUCCGGCGAUGCCUAUCUACCUCGUGACGUGA
Molecule: ribosomal RNA, 612 nt
Filed under: Triticum aestivum (bread wheat)
Lineage: Eukaryota; Viridiplantae; Streptophyta; Magnoliopsida; Poales; Poaceae
Description: partial small subunit ribosomal RNA
Source: RNAcentral